UACGGAGGGUGCAAGCGUUAUCCGGAUUCACUGGGUUUAAAGGGUGCGUAGGCGGGUUGGUAAGUCCGUGGUGAAAUCCCCAAGCUUAACUUGGGAACUGCUGUGGAUACUAUCAAUCUUGAAUAUCGUGGAGGUAAGCGGAAUAUGUCAUGUAGCGGUGAAAUGCUUAGAUAUGACAUAGAACACCAAUUGCGUAGGCAGCUUACUACACGAUCAUUGACGCUGAGGCACGAAAGCGUGGGGAGCAAACAGG
Molecule: ribosomal RNA, 253 nt
Filed under: uncultured bacterium
Lineage: Bacteria
Description: partial 16S ribosomal RNA
Rfam family: Bacterial small subunit ribosomal RNA
Source: RNAcentral